AUGCGGAGGAUCCGAGCGUUAUCCGGAUUUAUUGGGUUUAAAGGGUGCGCAGGCGGCCAUUUAAGUCAGCGGUUAAAUCGUGGGGCUCAACCCCAUUCUGCCGUUGAUACUGGGUGGCUUGAUUGCGGUCGAGGUUGGCGGAAUUCGUUGUGUAGCGGUGAAAUGCAUAGAUAUGACGAAGAACACCGAUUGCGUAGGCAGCUGACCAGACCGCAAAUGACGCUCAUGCACGAAAGUGCGGGGAUCGAACAGGAUUAGAUACCCUGGUAGUCCGCACAGUAAACGAUGAAUACUUGUUUUCGGCGAUAUAAUGUCGGAGGCAAAGCGAAAGCGAUAAGUAUUCCACCUGGGGAGUACGCCGGCAACGGUGAAACUUAAAGGAAUUGACGGGG
This 392-nucleotide ribosomal RNA is filed under the name uncultured bacterium. Its description in RNAcentral is "partial 16S ribosomal RNA". It matches the Rfam family "Bacterial small subunit ribosomal RNA", at positions 523 to 918 of the family's 1533-position model. The record is from RNAcentral.